RNAcentral lists this ribosomal RNA (491 nucleotides) under uncultured bacterium. RNAcentral describes it as "partial 16S ribosomal RNA". It matches the Rfam family "Bacterial small subunit ribosomal RNA", at positions 29 to 507 of the family's 1533-position model. The record is from RNAcentral.
GUGAACGCUGGCGGUAGGCCUAACACAUGCAGGUCGCACGGCAGCACAGUAAGAGCUUGCUCUUACGGGUGGCGAGUGGCGGACGGGUGAGGAAUACAUCGGAAUCUACUUUUUCGUGGGGGAUAACGUAGGGAAACUUACGCUAAUACCGCAUACGACCUACGGGUGAAAGCAGGGGAUCUUCGGACCUUGCGCGAUUGAAUGAGCCGAUGUCGGAUUAGCUAGUUGGCGGGGUAAAGGCCCACCAAGGCGACGAUCCGUAGCUGGUCUGAGAGGAUGAUCAGCCACACUGGAACUGAGACACUGUCCAGACUCCUACGGGAGGCAGCAGUGGGGAAUAUUGGACAAUGGGCGCAAGCCUGAUCCAGCCAUACCGCGUGGGUGAAGAAGGCCUUCGGGUUGUAAAGCCCUUUUGUUGGGAAAGAAAAGCAGCAGGUUAAUACCCCGCUGUUCUGACGGUACCCAAAGAAUAAGCACCGGCUAACUUCGUG